Rhineura floridana is the source of this 776-nucleotide long non-coding RNA. RefSeq lists it as uncharacterized. The transcript has 3 exons. The record is from RefSeq and is a predicted model, not a curated record. NCBI's taxonomy places the organism in Eukaryota, Metazoa, Chordata, Lepidosauria, Squamata, Rhineuridae.
GGGGGCGCAUAGUUGCAGAGUGGAAGUAACGCAAUUGGCUGUGAGGCGGCUGGAGCUCCGCUGGAGCUGUGCCUUUUUCUGGUCAGCCCAGCCCAGCUACUUGGCCACCUUUCCCUCCCUUCUCCCUGGCUGGGUCCUCUUCUUUCCUUUCUUCCUCCUCCCCCCCAGCCCCCACCCCACUGCCAGCCCUGCUUGCCUGUCAUGUUGGCACCUGGAGGAGCCAGCAGCGAGUUCGGCAACUUGCUGCGCAAGUUCAAGUUGGUUUUCCUCGGAGAGCAGAAUGGUCAGCGCAUGGUUGAGGCUGGGGCGGGUGGCAGGUGAGGGCAUGGAGGGUGGGAGGUCUCUGGAGCAACAGGAAGCAAAUAACGGAGGCGAGAUUACUCCCAGGGUGGUGUUCGUGUUAUGCUCUCAAAUGCAUACGGUGCCUCAUAGAAUUAUAUAAGCAAAAUCAGGUUUAAAAUUCAGCAUUUCAGUCUUCAAGUUUUAUUUCAUUUGGCAGAACUGUCCAGACUGGAUUCCUUAAUUUCCAUGAAAGCUGAAUUUGACUGUAACAGUGGGCGAACUGUCUGAAAGGAACACCAUUGGUCUAUCUUGCUCAGCGUUGUCCAUGUCAGUGUUUCCCAAACUUCCCCCCCCCAUGAAAUUUAUGAGGGUGUUGGCGGACCAUUUAAUGAUUUUUGACCUGUUGUAGCAAGUGUAAUGUACUAUGCUAAAUGCUGUACAUGCUUUUUUAAUUGUAUUGUUGUUGCUUCUUUUGUUUCUGAUGUAUAUCGUAU